Long non-coding RNA from Anthonomus grandis grandis, 1352 nucleotides. RefSeq lists it as uncharacterized. The record is from RefSeq and is a predicted model, not a curated record. NCBI's taxonomy places the organism in Eukaryota, Metazoa, Arthropoda, Insecta, Coleoptera, Curculionidae. The transcript is spliced from 4 exons.
GCAUACUUGUGACAGUGCUGCGAAAGAUAUUUGAUCUAAUUUCGGCAUUGUGUAAAAUCUUCUUUAUGUUUUGAAAAUAUAAGUAAUUUGGAUGGUAUGUUUUAAUAAAUGAUAUAAAUAAAACCUCUUAUGUUGACAACCCAAUAAUCCUUACUGUGGGAUCCCGAGGAAUACUAUAACCAAUAUUUUUAACUAGAAAAAUGCAUGCCACUGACUUCGUCAAUCAGAAGUAAUCCUUUUUUAUCUUUAAUCGACUUAAUGACUUUGCCCACUUCAGAUCUGUCCACAGGAUUAACGUACUUUAAACAUCAACUAUGGAAAGAUUGUUUAGGGGUCCAUGAUUUAGGUGCUAAUACUGCCGUUAUUUAUAUCUGAAAUUAAUCCAAAGGGCCUUAAUUAUUUGUCUUGCCUUAUUUACUGUUGCAAAAAUGUUGUCUCAGAAACAAAACUUCUGGUGUAAUCACAAUAACCAAUAUCGCAACAUUAAGAUAGCCCUAAUUUGCUCUACUUUAUGACAAGUUCAACGCAAUUCUCUUAUAUUUUGUUUAUAUCUUCCCUGUGAUCAGGAUUUCGGUAUUGUAGAAAAAGAAAAGAAGUGUCAUAAACAUGUAUGUAUAUACCGAAUCACUGGAUGACUGUAAUUAAAUCUGCAUGCAAACGAAAGCCAUUUCAAGUAGUGAAAUGAUAUUUUUUUUUCUACCAAGAACCUGGAGGAUGCUAUUGCUAAUAGAAAGGUUCUAAUUAUCUAGGUUCUAAGGUAUUCAAACUCAACUUGGUAAGUGUAGCAAAACGUAAGCCUUGUGCAUGAAUUGAAAAUUUGGAUCUGCUUUAUCUAUUAAGAGGCCCAAUAGAAAAACGGAAGAAAGUAGGUCCUAUUAAACUUCUUGCAUAUGUUUCAUCUGUUUUUUUGUUUUUGUUUAUCUGUUUUUCAUUGACAAACUGGAGGACAAAACUAGAAAAUGGCUAUGAUUAGAUAAAGAAAACCUUGAAUAAAGUUAAUGGGUAACUAAAGAUACUUCGGUCAUCCUCCAUUAAUUUUUUUUAAUGAUUUUGUUUGUGUACUCCAUAUGUAUUGAAAAGUUACUCUAGACUUCUUUAGAGAUGUAAGAUAAUAAGUUCAAAAAUCUAGUUUCACUUGGCUGUACAUUUUUAAUAACAAACAUAAAUCAAAACAUUUUUAAUUAAAAAUCUUAUAGGAACUUUACAAAAACCGCCAUUGAAAAAAGUAGCAAUUUUUAUAUAUAAAUUACUAAUUUCUUCAAUAUAUUUGAUGUUACGCCACUACGAUUCUUAACGCCUCAUUUAUAGUGCUGCCUUUGCAUUAAACACGAACGAGCCACAACUCACUUACA